RNAcentral lists this transfer RNA (81 nucleotides) under Candidatus Aenigmatarchaeota archaeon. RNAcentral describes it as "tRNA-Ser". It matches the Rfam family "tRNA". From Rfam's summary of the family: Transfer RNA (tRNA) molecules are approximately 80 nucleotides in length. Their secondary structure includes four short double-helical elements and three loops (D, anti-codon, and T loops). The record is from RNAcentral. Lineage: Archaea; Nanobdellati; Candidatus Aenigmatarchaeota.
GCCGGGGUGGCAGAGCGGUUAAUGCGCUGGUCUCGAAAACCAGUCCCGUGAGGGUCGUGAGUUCGAGUCUCACCCCCGGCG